AACUGGACUGAAAUAAGACAGGGAACAUGUCUCAAAGACAAUCCUAACUCUACUUUGCAAGUACACAGUUUAACACCAUACACCAAAAUGCUAAAAGACAAGCAUAGCUAAAUUGAACAAGCAGGAGGCAAAUCACUUCUUUGGGUGAUUAGUCUUGGGCUGUGAAUUCUUUUUUUCUGAUGACUUUCUUUUCAGUGAUGUGGUUCCUGCCAGGUCAACUCUUUCUUUGUCCUUUCUCUGGACCUGCUGGCUUGCUGACACUUGAACAUGCUGGCCUGCAAUUUGGUUGUUUGCUUGCUGGAAUAAGAAGGGAAGACAAGAUUAUAUAUAAUAUGUCAACCAGAUAAUAAUUGAAAAUUUAACAAGAGAAAAGCCUUAACAAGAAAAGCAUUCUUGUUUUUCCCUCUUUCUUUAUUUUUUUUGCAACUUGUCUUAUUAUGGCCAUUGUUUCCACACAAGAACACCUCAUCUGAAUUCCUUGUUUGUUAAACUAUCUCUGAAAGACCUCCACAGUUAUCUGAUGCCGUUUUGCAGAGCAGCACGCACGGUAACACUCACUCUGCCGCCGGCCAACUGCUCGACCAAAUGUCGCCUCCAACUCCACCCGCCGCCUGCUCUUCCCCGGCCUCGGGUCAGGUAGCUCGGCCACCGGUGGCUGCCCCCUCUUCCCCGCGUCAGUGAAGCAUCCGACGAAUCCGGAGACGGGCUCCCUCGGCGGUUCGCCAGAGCGAGGCUAUCCGACAGGCUCAGCGUUGGCGGGCGGUGUGCAGUGCAGCACCAGCGCGCGACGCAUCUGCGGGGUGCUGCCGGGCGCGAGGGUCCCCGCCAUGCGAGCCGGCUCGUGUGCGCGACUGGAAGCUCUUCGGUCAGCGGUUCCACGCAACUGGAUCUCGUCGAUGCUCCCGCAAGCAGGAACUAUUCCCUCAAGGCUGUUGAAUGACAAGUUGAGAAGCUGCAAGGAGCUAAAGUCCUCAAAAAAGUCUGGGAUUUCACCUGACAAGUUGUUUUCUGAAAGAUCCAUCUCGAUAAUUGGUUGUUGGAAACAUUAAGGGAUUCGAGAUUAAUCAAGCUGCCAAUCUGAGAUGGUAUUGAUCCAUUGAGAUUAUUAUAAGACAGAUCCACGCCUUCUGAAAGAGAGAAAAUAGACAAUAGCCCAGGUGGAAUACU
This is a long non-coding RNA of Brachypodium distachyon (stiff brome), 1167 nucleotides long. RefSeq lists it as uncharacterized. NCBI's taxonomy places the organism in Eukaryota, Viridiplantae, Streptophyta, Magnoliopsida, Poales, Poaceae. The transcript has 3 exons. The record is from RefSeq and is a predicted model, not a curated record.